AUCUUAUCACGAGUGGCAGAGGGACUGGCCCGUAGAAGCCACAGCAACCGGUUCCGCGCAUAGCGGAAUGUCAGGUGCUAACUCCAGCAAGGCGCAAGCCUUGAAAGAUAAGAA
Non-coding RNA from Deltaproteobacteria bacterium GWA2_54_12, 114 nucleotides. Lineage: Bacteria; Deltaproteobacteria. The record is from Rfam.